GCCCUUACCUGGACGGGUCUACGGCUGAUCAUGGAGGGUCAUGGAGGGUCGUGGCCUAGAUUAACGGCUCGCAUUGCACUUGGUGCAACACGUUGGUCUACCAUCUCCCUACGGGGAGAGUGGACGCCAUAAUUUAUGGCAGAGGGGGUACUAGUGCAGAUUUCCCUA
This is a small nuclear RNA of Lolium rigidum, 168 nucleotides long. RefSeq annotates it as U1 spliceosomal RNA. NCBI's taxonomy places the organism in Eukaryota, Viridiplantae, Streptophyta, Magnoliopsida, Poales, Poaceae. The transcript has a single exon. The record is from RefSeq and is a predicted model, not a curated record.